CAGUAGCCGCGGGAAUACGGAGGGUGCAAGCGUUAAUCGGAAUUACUGGGCGUAAAGCGCACGCAGGCGGUCUGUCAAGUCAGAUGUGAAAUCCCCGGGCUUAACCUGGGAACUGCAUUUGAAACUGGCAGGCUAGAGUCUUGUAGAGGGGGGUAGAAUUCCAGGUGUAGCGGUGAAAUGCGUAGAGAUCUGGAGGAAUACCGGUGGCGAAGGCGGCCCCCUGGACAAAGACUGACGCUCAGGUGCGAAAGCGUGGGGAGCAAACAGGAUUAGAUACCCCGGUAGUCCCUGUCUCUUAUAC
Molecule: ribosomal RNA, 301 nt
Filed under: uncultured bacterium
Lineage: Bacteria
Description: partial 16S ribosomal RNA
Rfam family: Bacterial small subunit ribosomal RNA
Source: RNAcentral